GCUGGGUGUGGUGGCGCAUGCCUGUAGUCCCAAUUACUCGGGAGGCGGAGGCUAGAGGAUCACUUGAGCCCAGGAGUUCUGGGCUGUAGUGCGCUAUGCUGACCAGAUGUCCACACUAACUUUGGCAUCAAUAUGGUGACCUCCUGGGAGGGGGGACCACCGGGUUGCCUAAGGAGGGGUGAACUGGGCCAGGUCGGAAAAGGAGCAGGUCAAAACUCCUGUGCUGAUCAGUAGCGGGAUCAUGCCUGUGAACAGCCACUAAACUCCAGCCUGGCCAACAAGCAAGACCCUGUCUCU
RNAcentral lists this signal recognition particle RNA (297 nucleotides) under Saimiri boliviensis boliviensis (Bolivian squirrel monkey). RNAcentral describes it as "Metazoan signal recognition particle RNA (ENSSBOG00000004555.1)". It matches the Rfam family "Metazoan signal recognition particle RNA". From Rfam's summary of the family: The signal recognition particle (SRP) is a universally conserved ribonucleoprotein. It is involved in the co-translational targeting of proteins to membranes. Lineage: Eukaryota; Metazoa; Chordata; Mammalia; Primates; Cebidae. The record is from RNAcentral.